GACGAACGCUGGCGGCGUGCUUAACACAUGCAAGUCGAACGGAAAGGCCCUGCUUUUGUGGGGUGCUCGAGUGGCGAACGGGUGAGUAACACGUGAGUAACCUGCCCUUGACUUUGGGAUAACUUCAGGAAACUGGGGCUAAUACCGGAUAGGAGCUCCUGCUGCAUGGUGUGGGUUGGAAAGUUUCGGCGGUUGGGGAUGGACUCGCGGCUUAUCCGCUUGUUGGUGGGGUAGUGGCUUACCAAGGCUUUGACGGAUAGCCGGCCUGAGAGGGUGACCGGCGACAUGGGGACUGAGAUACGGCGCAGACUCCUACGGGAGGCAGCAGUGGGGAAUAUUGCACAAUGGGCGGAAGCCUGAUGCAGCAACGCCGCGUGCGGGAUGACGGCCUUCGGGUUGUAAACCGCUGUCGCCUGUGACGAAGCGUGAGUGACGGUAAUGGGUAAAGAAGCACCGGCUAACUACGUG
Molecule: ribosomal RNA, 468 nt
Filed under: uncultured bacterium
Lineage: Bacteria
Description: partial 16S ribosomal RNA
Rfam family: Bacterial small subunit ribosomal RNA
Source: RNAcentral